AUAAGCUUGUAUCCUCCAUAAACGAUUGAAGGAAAGAACAAAGCACUAGGAAACCAGCAAACCAAUCAAGUCGUUGCUGUCUCUACCAUUUUCGAUUGGAUUCUUCACUGUUUAUUGAUCUAAACACUAGUGAUAUAACUGGAGGUUUGGAGACAUGUCAACAAUUUAGGUGGUUGUUUGGGCAGAUGCUAUCAACUUAUGACCAGUUGCAAGAAAAAGAUGACGCUUGAUGCUUUAAACUAUUAGAUUGGCUACUAAGUAUUGAUGGAUGGGAAUUCAACUGAGCUAAUUAGUUUUUGAUUUGUUAGAAUUAAUGUUUAGGUGGUGCUAUUUUUGGUCUGGUUUCCUGUUGUGUAUGUUAAUUGUUAUGUUGCCUUCUGGCCAAUUGGUACUUUUCCUCCAAUGAAAUUUUUAUUUGGGUGA
This is a long non-coding RNA of Camellia sinensis, 423 nucleotides long. RefSeq lists it as uncharacterized. The record is from RefSeq and is a predicted model, not a curated record. Lineage: Eukaryota; Viridiplantae; Streptophyta; Magnoliopsida; Ericales; Theaceae.